CGGAGAUCGCGGCGGGGGGGGGGGUCACAACAUAAAAAUGCAAAGUGAGAAAGCAAAAUGCAUAGCCAAAGAAAACCCCCAACGCCCAGGGAAGCCUUGGCAGGAGGCCUGUGGGCGGCGGGGCUGCUCCAGGGCUGGCGUGGGACUCCAGGGGAUCAGGACAUCCCGGGAGGGAGCUCCGAGGGCUGCUCGGGAGGAAGAAGAAGGUGGCCUGGCGCGUCCACCCAAGAGGUUCCAAAUAAAAAGUGAACAGGAAGCAGAGAGAAGGGCUGGGCUUGGAAAUGCAUCGUGCACCAUCAUGCACAGCUGUGAGGCGCCUUCUUUUCAACCCCCCCCUGCCCAGCUGUUUUUCGCUAGCCCUGUUCAGAGACCAGGCUUUGAGGGAUGGUGGGCUGUGUCUGUCCGUGUGGAUAACAGGGGGAGGAAGAAUUCCAUACUGCCAUUUCUCUGUUGCAAAUCCCUCAGCUUUGUACCAAAUAUGGGAUCAAAAAACCUCAUUUCUCACUGGAUGUCUUAAUUCUGGCUUCAGCUUGUGCACAUAUUUGUGUUUAAACCAGGCUCACUGAUGCACUGAAAAGACCACACAGCAUGCUUGUAGUACCAAGAGAGAACCAGAAAUCCCUUCUAAAGUUAAGAAAUUUUAGUUCACUGGACUUGUACUAGUACUUAUUCAUUAAGAAAACCCAACUGGCAAAUAUUUGCAGACUACAAGCUGCAGUUUCAUAGUUUUGCAGAGUAGGCUUAUAUCUGUACAGUGGUGCCCCGCAAGACAAAUGCCUCGCAAGACGGAAAACUCGCUAGACGAAAGGGUUUUCCGUUUUUUGAGCUGCUUCGCAAGACAAAUUUCCCUAUGGGCUUGCUUCGCAAGAAGAAAAACGAAAACGUCUUGCAAAUUUGUUUCCUUUUUCUUAACACUGUUAAUACAGUUGUGACUUGACUUCGAGGAGCAACUCAUAGAACGCGGUGUGGUAGCCUUUUUUGAGGUUUUUGAAGAUUUGGUAUUUUUGAAGCUUUUCCAAAACGUCUUUUAAACUUUUAAAACUUUUUUUGGGGUUUUUGGAUUUUGGGUUGGGGUGUUUGGAAUUCAAGGACUUGGUGUUGGGGAGGCGUUUGCAAGAAUCUGGAAGCUUGUGUGGUUUUUUUCUGCAUUUUUAUGAUUUUCUGUGAC
This 1168-nucleotide long non-coding RNA is filed under the name Podarcis lilfordi (Lilford's wall lizard). The record is from RNAcentral. Lineage: Eukaryota; Metazoa; Chordata; Lepidosauria; Squamata; Lacertidae.